This 346-nucleotide ribosomal RNA is filed under the name uncultured Mollicutes bacterium. Its description in RNAcentral is "bacterial SSU rRNA". It matches the Rfam family "Bacterial small subunit ribosomal RNA", at positions 28 to 339 of the family's 1533-position model. The record is from RNAcentral. Lineage: Bacteria; Bacillati; Mycoplasmatota; Mollicutes.
GAUGAACGCUGGCGGCAUGCCUAAGACAUGCAAGUCGAACGAGAUGGCCUUUUGAAAACUGCGUACUUGUACAAAGUUCGAUUAAGAAUUUCCAUCUAGUGGCAGACGGGUGAGUAAUACAUAAGUAAUCUACCUUAGAGACUGGGAUAACGUUUGGAAACGAACGCUAAUACCGGAUAAUUCUUCUUACACAAGUAAGAAAGCUAAAAGGAGCGUUUGCUUCACUUUAAGAUGAGCUUAUGGCGUAUUAACUAGUUGGUGGGGUAAUGGCCUACCAAGGUGACGAUGCGUAGCCGAACUGAGAGGUUGAUCGGCCACAUUGGGACUGAGACACGGCCCAAACUCC